Molecule: small nuclear RNA, 159 nt
Organism: Suncus etruscus (white-toothed pygmy shrew)
Lineage: Eukaryota; Metazoa; Chordata; Mammalia; Eulipotyphla; Soricidae
Product: U1 spliceosomal RNA
Exons: 1
Source: RefSeq, a predicted model, not a curated record
AUACUUACCUGCAGGGGAGAUACCAGGAUCACGAAGGUAAUUUUCCCAAAGUGAGGCUUAUCCAUUGCACUCCAGAUGUGCUGACCCAUGAAAUUUCCUCAAAUAUGGGAAACUCAGCAGCAUAAUUGUGGUAGUGAGACUGUGUUUGUGUUCUCCCGU